GAACUUAAGCAUAUCAAUAAGCGGAGGAAAAGAAACCAACAGGGAUUGCCUCAGUAACGGCGAGUGAAGCGGCAAAAGCUCAAAUUUGAAAUCUAGCACUUUCAGUGUUCGAGUUGUAAUUUGAAGAAGGUAACUUUGGUUUUGGCUCUUGUCUAUGUUCCUUGGAACAGGACGUCACAGAGGGUGAGAAUCCCGUGCGAUGAGAUGCCCAAUUCCAUGUAAAGUGCUUUCGAAGAGUCGAGUUGUUUGGGAAUGCAGCUCUAAGUGGGUGGUAAAUUCCAUCUAAAGCUAAAUAUUGGCGAGAGACCGAUAGCGAACAAGUACAGUGAUGGAAAGAUGAAAAGAACUUUGAAAAGAGAGUGAAAAAGUACGUGAAAUUGUUGAAAGGGAAGGGCUUGAGAUCAGACUUGGUAUUUUGCGUUCCCUUCCUUUUUGGUUGGGUUCCUCGCAGUUUACUGGGCCAGCAUCGGUUUGGAUGGUAGGAUAAUGACAUUGGAAUGUAGCUUUACUUCGGUGAAGUGUUAUAGACUUUGUUGAUACUGCCUAUCUAGACCGAGGACUGCGUCUUGACUAGAUGCUGCGA
This 583-nucleotide ribosomal RNA is filed under the name Dujonia zeylanoides. Its description in RNAcentral is "LSU rRNA". It matches the Rfam family "Eukaryotic large subunit ribosomal RNA", at positions 30 to 631 of the family's 3401-position model. Lineage: Eukaryota; Fungi; Ascomycota; Pichiomycetes; Serinales; Debaryomycetaceae. The record is from RNAcentral.